Molecule: long non-coding RNA, 1211 nt
Organism: Syzygium oleosum
Lineage: Eukaryota; Viridiplantae; Streptophyta; Magnoliopsida; Myrtales; Myrtaceae
Exons: 2
Source: RefSeq, a predicted model, not a curated record
AGCGGGGGCAGGGCUGAUCGAAUUAGCCCAAUUCAAAUCCUAACUUUUAGAUGCCAUUUUUGGACUUCAGAGACCGAUAGGUCUGCAGAGGUCUGAUACAGUCUUUGAAGUCCCAAAAAUGGGCAUCUAAACGCUAGACUGAGAGCUUGAGGUGAGACUUGAACUCAAAAAGGAAUGGGGAUUUCCUUUGGAGCGCCCAUCUCUUGUACCGGCAAGACAUUUAAGAGCAUUCUGACACCGCGUUUGGUUGGAGGAAGAGAGCUCGAGAGACACAAGCGAGCCUCAGAUUUGAAGGGGCAUCGGAGAUACCCCGGAGAACCGUGGAUCGCAGCUUUUGUGGACGAACACCCAAGUUCUCUUCCUUGAUUCGGUCUUAAUCGGAGCAACGUACGCUACGAUGAUGAAGACAUCAGCUAUCAUAUUUCUUUGUUCUUUAUUCGUAAGUAGCUGUGUCGGAAGUAUUUGGAUGAAGACAUACGUUAAAAUCGAAAACAACGUGCCGGCUGGAACUCUAAUGGUUCAUUGUGAAUCCAAGAACGAUGAUCUCGGAAUCCAUCAUAUAAAGGGUAGUUGGGAAUUCUGAAUUUGUACCCAGAUUCUUCGGGGGGGACAUUGUUCUUUUGAAGCUUUGCAUGGCCUGGUCAAAUUGUAUGGUUUGAUAUAUAUGUGCAAAGCAGAGACCAGGAUAUAUGCACCCAGUGUACUUGGAAGAUUUCGCCGGAUGGUCCUUGUAGGCUCGAUGAACAGUUCAAGGUCUGUUAUCCUUGGAAUGCUCCGUCAUAGUUAGGGACCUCUUUUGACAUCUCGUUUUGGCCACAUUCCAUCAACAAUGAUACCAUUGCUUCGUUCUUCACCAAUUUCUUUAUUACCUCGCGAAAGCUAUGAAGUUGUCGCCAGAUUUCACCGCCGAGGUCACUGCCUUCACCAGAGAUAAUGUGGUCGCGCCGGUUCUGCAGUCAGAUGGUGAUAUGUUAGUGAGAUACAAGCUGGAGCAGCUGGCCUUACGAGUUCUUCUGCGUCCUUAACUGCUGGAAAUUUUCUUUCUUCAAUUUCGACUAUAUUUGCUUAUAUGUGUAUGUAGUAUAUACUAAUUUCAGAAGCAGGCAGUUCCUAUUGUGCAACUUAACCUAAUACGCUUACUACCAGAUUUGAGUGUUGCCAUUAGCAAGUCUGAAGUUGUGGGUAUAUGAUACUGCUACUUUUUAUUGAAA